GGCUUCGUAGCCCAAUUGGUAGAGCGCUUGUUACGUUCGAGCAUGAUGUUUCUGUCACUGGUACGAAUCCAGCCGAAGCCC
Paragonimus heterotremus is the source of this 81-nucleotide non-coding RNA. NCBI's taxonomy places the organism in Eukaryota, Metazoa, Platyhelminthes, Trematoda, Plagiorchiida, Troglotrematidae. The record is from the annotation of a GenBank genome assembly.